CACAAUGGGCGAAAGCCUGAUGCAGCGAUACCGCGUGGGUGAAGAAGGCCCUCGGGUCGUAAAGCCCUGUCAGAGGGAAAGAUAAUGACGGUACCCUCUAAGGAAGCCACGGCUAAUUACGUGCCAGCAGCCGCGGUAAUACGUAAGUGGCGAGCGUUAUCCGGAAUUACUGGGCGUAAAGCGUGCGUAGGCGGUUCAGUGUGUGGGAAUUGAAAGCCCGGGGCUCAACUCCGGAUCCGGUUCCCAAACUGCUGGACUCGAGCGUAUCAGAGGACAGUGGAAUUCCCGGUGUAGCGGUAAUAUGCGUAGAUAUCGGGAGGAACACCAGUGGCGAAGGCGACUGUCUGGGGUAUUGCUGACGCUGAGGCACGAAAGCCAGGGGAGCGAACGGGAUUAGAUACCCCGGUAGUCCUGGCCUUAAACGAUGAUCACUAGGUGUAGGAGGCUUCGACCCCUUCUGCGCCGCCGCUGACGCAUUAAGUGAUCCGCCUGGGGAGUACGGCCGCAAGGUUA
Molecule: ribosomal RNA, 513 nt
Filed under: uncultured bacterium
Lineage: Bacteria
Description: bacterial SSU rRNA
Rfam family: Bacterial small subunit ribosomal RNA
Source: RNAcentral